GAGGGUAUAGCUCAGUGGUAGAGCGUGUGCUUAGCAUGCACAAGGUCCUGGGUUCAAGCCCCAGUACCUCCA
Molecule: transfer RNA, 72 nt
Filed under: Camelus bactrianus (Bactrian camel)
Lineage: Eukaryota; Metazoa; Chordata; Mammalia; Artiodactyla; Camelidae
Also listed under: 3 other names
Rfam family: tRNA
About the family: Transfer RNA (tRNA) molecules are approximately 80 nucleotides in length. Their secondary structure includes four short double-helical elements and three loops (D, anti-codon, and T loops). Further hydrogen bonds mediate the characteristic L-shaped molecular structure. tRNAs have two regions of fundamental functional importance: the anti-codon, which is responsible for specific mRNA codon recognition, and the 3' end, to which the tRNAs corresponding amino acid is attached (by aminoacyl-tRNA synthetases). tRNAs cope with the degeneracy of the genetic code in two manners: having more than one tRNA (with a specific anti-codon) for a particular amino acid; and 'wobble' base-pairing, i.e. permitting non-standard base-pairing at the 3rd anti-codon position.
Source: Rfam by way of RNAcentral